Molecule: transfer RNA, 89 nt
Filed under: Mesorhizobium onobrychidis
Lineage: Bacteria; Pseudomonadati; Pseudomonadota; Alphaproteobacteria; Hyphomicrobiales; Phyllobacteriaceae
Description: Mesorhizobium sp. OM4 tRNA-Ser
Rfam family: Selenocysteine transfer RNA
Source: RNAcentral
GGAUGGGUGGCCGAGUGGUUUUAGGCUCUGGUCUUGAAAACCAGCGUAGGGGCAACUCUACCGUGGGUUCGAAUCCCACCCAUCCGCCA